RNAcentral lists this ribosomal RNA (796 nucleotides) under uncultured bacterium. RNAcentral's name for it is "bacterial SSU rRNA". It matches the Rfam family "Bacterial small subunit ribosomal RNA", at positions 8 to 796 of the family's 1533-position model. The record is from RNAcentral.
AGAGUUUGAUCAUGGCUCAGAUUGAACGCUGGCGGCAUGCCUAACACAUGCAAGUCGAACGUGAAAGAGGGGCAACUCUCGAGUAAAGUGGCGGACGGGUGAAUAAUACGUAGGAAUCUACCCUAGAGUGGGGGAUAACCUGCCGAAAGGUGGGCUAAUACCGCAUAAUCUCUAUGGAGAAAAGGUGUCCCGUACUUGUACGGGGUUUCGCUUUAGGAUGAGCCUACGUCGGAUUAGCUAGUUGGUAGGGUAAUGGCCUACCAAGGCAACAAUCCGUAGCUGGUCUGAGAGGACGAUCAGCCACACUGGAACUGAGACACGGUCCAGACUCCUACGGGAGGCAGCAGUGGGGAAUAUUGGACAAUGGGGGAAACCCUGAUCCAGCAAUGCCGCGUGUGCGAUGAAGGCCUGCGGGUUGUAAAGCACUUUCGGUGGGGAAGAAAUGCUCAAAUAUAAUACAUUUGAGAGCUGACAUUACCCACAGAAGAAGCACCGGCAAACUCUGUGCCAGCAGCCGCGGUAAUACAGAGGGUGCAAGCGUUAGUCGGAGUUACUGGGCGUAAAGGGCGUGUAGGCUGGUAUCUUAGUCGAUUGUGAAAUCCCUGGGCUUAACCUAGGAAUUGCGGUCGAUACUGGAUGCCUUGAGUAUGGUAGAGGAAAGUGGAAUUCUCGGUGUAGUGGUUAAAUACGUAGAUAUCGAGAAGAACAUCGGUGGCGAAGGCGACUUUCUGGGCCAAUACUGACGCUGAGGCGCGAAAGCGUGGGGAGCAAACAGGAUUAGAUACCCUGGUAGUCC